GCUUUGACGAUGUUGCACUACUGUAUCAUCGCUGAAGCAGUGCAAUAGUAUUGUCAUAGC
Astatotilapia calliptera (eastern happy) is the source of this 60-nucleotide microRNA precursor. NCBI's taxonomy places the organism in Eukaryota, Metazoa, Chordata, Actinopteri, Cichliformes, Cichlidae. The record is from Ensembl.